Molecule: ribosomal RNA, 440 nt
Filed under: uncultured bacterium
Lineage: Bacteria
Description: partial 16S ribosomal RNA
Rfam family: Bacterial small subunit ribosomal RNA
Source: RNAcentral
CCUACGGGAGGCAGCAGUGGGGAAUAUUGCACAAUGGGGGAAACCCUGAUGCAGCGACGCCGCGUGAGGGAAGAAGUAUUUCGGUAUGUAAAGCUCUAUCAGCAGGGAAGAAAAUGACGGUACCUGUGUAAGAAGCUCCGGCUAAAUACGUGCCAGCAGCCGCGGUAAUACGUAUGGAGCAAGCGUGAUCCGGAUUUACUGGGCGUAAAGGGAGCGUAGGCGGCGUGCCAAGUCUGAUGUGAAAUACCGGGGCUCAACCCCGGGGCUGCAUUGGAAACUGGCAGGCUGGAGUGCCGGAGAGGCAGGCGGAAUUCCUAGUGUAGCGGUGAAAUGCGUAGAUAUUAGGAGGAACACCAGUGGCGAAGGCGGCUUGCUGGACGGUGACUGACGCUGAGGCUCGAAAGCGUGGGGAGCAAACAGGAUUAGAUACCCUGGUAGUC